This 371-nucleotide ribosomal RNA is filed under the name Siphonosoma sp. USNM IZ 1447997. RNAcentral's name for it is "SSU rRNA". It matches the Rfam family "Eukaryotic small subunit ribosomal RNA", at positions 51 to 414 of the family's 1831-position model. The record is from RNAcentral. Lineage: Eukaryota; Metazoa; Annelida; Sipuncula; Golfingiida; Sipunculidae. RNAcentral also lists the same sequence under 6 other names.
AUGCAUGUGUAAGCACAGGCCUUUACAUGGUGAAGCUGCGAAUGGCUCAUUAGAUCGGCUAUUAUUUAUUAGAGCAUACUAUCCUACUUGGAUAACUGUGGCAAUUCUAGAGCUAAUACAUGCAACACGGCUCCGACCUCCGGGGAAGAGCGAGUUUAUUAGAUCAAAACCAAUCUGGCCGCAAGGCCAGAGGUUGUUGGUGACUCUGGAUAACUUUGGUCUGAUCGCACGGCCCUCGCGCCGGCGACGCAUCUUUCAAGUGUCCGCCCUAUCAACUGUCGUUGGUAAGGUAUCUGCUUACCAAGGUUGUAACGGGUAACGGGGAAUCAGGGUUCGAUUCCGGAGAGGGAGCAUGAGAAACGGCUACCACA